CAGAGCAAGAAGAUACUGCAAAAUAUACACCGUGCCGUGCUGCGCUCCGCUGAGGCUGACAAGUUGCAUUACCAGUGAAAUAAAAAUUUUCUUGUGCAGUUUUUGGAAAUUACGAUUUAAAAAAGAAACAACAACUAAAAAGUGCAAUUUAUUGAGCAAAAAUUGUGUGAAAAGCAAAAUCGAAAGCAUUGUUUAUAUGCAUUCUUACAUAUAGUAUAUUAUGUAUGUAUUUUCAGCAGAUUUUGCCAAUUGUAUGUCAAAUAAAUUCUAUUGAAUAAUUACAACGCGCAGGCAUUCCAAAAUAAAGUGAAAAAUUUGUGUGAAAAAGUGCAAGAGGUUUUCAAAGAAAGUAGAAGUUAUAAAAUUAUACAUACACACACAAAAUACCGACAGGCACAAAAGUCCUUUUCUAAGUGCAAUCACACACACAUACAUACAUAGCAACUUUCAAUAUGGCGGAUGUCAUGGAGAAAAGCUCUGUGCUGGAAGCUGCGACUACGUUAAACGACUCGCUCCCACACCAGCAACUACAACAACAACAACACCCACACCCACCGCCGCAACAGCAGCAGGAGCAGAAACUGCAACAGCAACUACAACAGGAUCAGCCUCAACAAAACCACCAACAACAGCAGCUCCAGCUGCAGCAGCAACAACUACAAAAGGCAGAGCCAGCAAAGCCAACGGUAGCGCCACUUGCGACAACAACAACAACACCAUCAACAACAACAACAACAACACGCGCUGGAUCCGAGCAGAAAGAAGGCGACAAUGACAGCGGCGUCGAUGAGUCCACACAGGAGAAGGAUCGCAACGGACCGAUCUCGCCCAGUUCGCCGGUGAAGACGCCAACAUCCACCUCCUCGAAGCCAGACAAGUCGGGCGCCUCACGCCCACCGAGCGCCACGCCCUCGAACAAAUCGGCCAAGUCGCGCAGCGCCUCAAAGAAUCGUUUGCUGCUCAAGACUCCCGAGCCGGAGCCGGUCAAGAAAGUUCCAAUGAAUAAGGUGCAGGUAGGACAUGCGCCUUCGCCCAAUCUGAAGGCGGUGCGUUCCAAAAUCGGCUCUCUGGACAAUGCCACCUAUAAGCCCGGUGGUGGUCAUGUCAAAAUCGAGACAAAGAAAAUUGACAUCAAGGCCGCACCGCGCAUCGAGGCUAAGAAUGACAAGUACAUGCCUAAGGGCGGCGAAAAGAAGAUAGUUACAACAAAGUUGCAGUGGAAUGCCAAGUCGAAAAUCGGCUCAUUGGAAAAUGCCGCCCAUAAGCCUGGCGGCGGCGACAAAAAGAUCGAAACGCUGAAAAUUGAUUUCAAGGAUAAGGUCAAAUCGAAGGUUGGCUCCAAGGACAAUGUUAAACAUCAGCCCGGCGGCGGUGAUAUCAAGGAUAACAAUUCGAAGGAUAUACAAUCGCAAAAAAUAGAAAUUAAGGCACAAAGCAAAGUUGGCUCUUUGGAUAAUGUUAAGCACAAGCCCGGUGGCGGUGAAAAGAAGAUUUUCGAUGAUAAGGAAUAUUUGAAAAAUGUUGAACACUCUGUUGCACUGACAACACCACCAACACAGUGUGCGGCCCAAGGGCGCUUGAUCGCAACGAUUCAUCUAGAAUUUGGUCUUUGUAACUCAGACUGUGAAUAUUUAUAUACAUUUUAUUAGGCUAAUCAUACAAACUAAGUGCAUUACAUAAAUUCAAAAUCCGUAUACAUGUUACGUCCAUUAGAGUUAUUUAUUGUCUUCUACAACUACAACUAUAAUAACUACACAUGAAACGAUGCGAUUUUAAUGAAAAGCAAGCUAAAGAAAAAUUAACUUUGCAAAUGAAAACUUAGUCCACAACCAUCCAUGACGGCUUCAACAAGCGGCGCUGAUGAAAAUUUAAAUCAACAAAGCUAAACGCCUAAAAUUGCAUGUUGAGCUGAAGUUUAUAACAACAACAACAACAGCAACAAGAAAUUUACACAAAUUUGAUAAAACAAAACACUAAUUUUUGAAUUUUUGUAUUAUUAAGCAAAGUUACACAAAUUUAAAAAGUAUGCAACAAUAAAUUUCCCACACAAUACAAACCGAAACAACAACAGCAAUACCAAUAUGAUGUAUAAUCAACAUACAUAUAUAGUAUGUACUCGUACACCCAAACAGAAUCAAAAAUACACACGAAUUUCACAAACAUACAUACAUACAUCAAAACAUAGAAUUGAAAUUAUACAUAUAUGACUAGUUGAGCAAUGCACUUAUUUAUUAUACAAAAUCAGACAUACUAUAUAUGGGAAAAGAGAGUACAGUAUAUCUCUAUCUCUCUAUAUAUAUAUAUUAAAAUUUUCAUAAAUAUAUAUAUAUGCAUACAUACUAUAUGUAACCAUUACGAUUGUGUAUGUGAAAGCAGCAAGAAAGUAUCUAAAUAUUUAAGCAAAAUAUACAACAAAAAAUUAUAAAGGAUUAUUGCAUAUUUAUAUGUGUGCUUAGUUGAAAAUGUUGAACAAACGUAACCUAAACCUAAUGGCUAGAUGUUGAAACAUUUAUUAAAACAAACAUACCUACAUACAUACAAGGACAGAGGAGCGAUUAUAACAUUUAGAUACUUUUCAGCGUACACUCACAGAUUGGGCCAGAUUGGUAUACGUAUAGUACGAGUAUAGGCCAGGAAUCGAAAAGGAAGACAUACUUUUUAAUUUAUACCAUUUCUUUAGUAAAUCGCAUCUAUCUCACAAUUUAUUUACACCCUGUUACAACAUGUAAGAACAAAGCAUAAUAAAACAAAAAAAAAAAACGUUUUCUCAUUUAUCAAA
Molecule: RNA transcript, 2779 nt
Organism: Scaptodrosophila lebanonensis
Lineage: Eukaryota; Metazoa; Arthropoda; Insecta; Diptera; Drosophilidae
Gene: tau
Gene name: microtubule-associated protein 2
Exons: 10
Source: RefSeq, a predicted model, not a curated record